AGGGGAGAUCAAGGAAAAUCAUCCCACACCCAUAGUGCAUGCAGCACAUCUGCUGAACCAGCUCUUUGUUACUCUGAAUGUUGGCCAAUAAAAUUAACCCUCAAGCACCCUUGACACUAGGAAGUUUUCACAGUGUGGCAGGAAACAAGGGAAUGUGUCAGGAGAACGUCCUGAGGAAAGAGUUCCAAAGUCAAUGACAGAAGACGUCCUGUCCCAUGUACUCACCCACCUCAUCACUGAAGGGUCUUCCCAGCACUAAGAAAAGUGCAGCACCAUGUGGAGGUCAACACAGUGAGAAAUGGCUCUCACAUUGAAGUCUUUUUGUCCAGGAUGGUAUAAUUUGGCAAGAGCCAAAUUAUUUUGCCAGUCAUCCCAAAUGAGGGAAGCCAGUAGAACUCAUGGAGCAUCUCAUCCAGCUUUUAAAACACAUGUACAAAAACUAUACCAUAGAUCACCUAUAUGGCAGGGCUAGCCCAAAAGUGGAUAUGUUCCAGAAUCCUGUGGACAGACAUCUGGACAGAAAAGCAGCAGCAGCAGCAGCAGCGGUUUGAUCAGCCUAACAUAAGGCCUUUGUGAGUGCUUUGAAUAUCAACUGCAACACGAAUAGGCCGUCCUUGUUCUGACUAAAAGAGCUCAGACGUUCAAUGACUCUGACUUGUGGCCAGGACCAGUAGUUAGUUACAGAAGAACUAUGUGGUCUGCCAUGCAUGGUGAAAAAUGGCAAUUCAUUCAUUUCAUAAAAAUGAAACUUGCUCCAGUAAAAUACCUAUACAAUUUAUGAAACAUGCAGAGUCAAGCUAAGGAACAAGGUGCAGCCUAUCUUGGCCUCUCCAUUGCACACCUCUUCAAACUGUUAUUUUCUACAGCAAGUGGGGGAAAUACUGUUGGAAAUGUUGCUCUUUACAUUAAUCCCUUGUGAAUUUUGCAUCUAAGUUCAGUUUGAUUCAGCCACCAACUUUCUGGACCAAAAUGUGUUCUAAGUCCUCCCAUUGCUGUUCUAUGCCCCAUGUAUAGGCAUAUGGUAUGGUGGUGGUUGACAAACACAGAGUGCAGAGGGCAUUUUCUUCUUCCGUGUGUAACCAUUGCCAUCUCCUACUCUUCUUUGGUUAGUGAAUGGGGAUCUAAGUUAGAGGGUGAGGCUUCCAUACAGGUGUAAGUCCAAAUACCACCUUUAAAAAAUUAACGACACCAUAGUAUUUAAAGCUUUAUUCAUUCAAAUUGCUCUGCAGAAUAGAUCUACUCGAUAGGAUCAAGAGAAAAUUAGGAAAAUUGAAGUUCAAUUUAUGGAUAAUUACAUCAACAUGAAGUUAUGUUACAGGAGGUGUGUGCGCAUGCGAGAACAAUGCUUUUUGAUAAGGAGAGAUUUUAGGGAGAUUUAGUGUUUCUGAUUAAUCCAUUCCCUAAUCCAGGCCAGCUCUCUAAUAAUACCUUAGUUACCGUUUAGUCCAGUCCUAGACUGGGGGUGGGGAAGAUAGUGAACCAGCAAGAGAACAGGACUGCAUUGCCUUGCGGUACUAAAUACUUUCUUCGUUCAGCUAUUAAUGUUGUUAAUUGUAUUCCACUGCCUGAUCUUUCUGUGUUACAGAAAGAUCUUCCUUCUCUGGAUUCUACAGGAAUGAUCUUAUUUUUGUGAACUACCUAGAGUCUUUGGAGUCAGGUGGUAUAUAAAUUGAAUGAAUGAAUGAAUGAAUAAACAAACAAACAAACAAAC
This is a long non-coding RNA of Hemicordylus capensis (graceful crag lizard), 1711 nucleotides long. RefSeq lists it as uncharacterized. The record is from RefSeq and is a predicted model, not a curated record. NCBI's taxonomy places the organism in Eukaryota, Metazoa, Chordata, Lepidosauria, Squamata, Cordylidae. The transcript has 4 exons.